AGAUAGGUCCUAAAUGGUGAUUUAGCUAUGAACCUGGUCAGACCCGGAAGGGAGCAGCCAUAAGUAGAAAAGUUAGGUGUUUAGGUUGCUUGUUUAAG
RNAcentral lists this signal recognition particle RNA (98 nucleotides) under Planctomycetota bacterium. RNAcentral's name for it is "Planctomycetes bacterium signal recognition particle sRNA small type". It matches the Rfam family "Bacterial small signal recognition particle RNA". Rfam says of the family: The signal recognition particle (SRP) is a universally conserved ribonucleoprotein involved in the co-translational targeting of proteins to membranes. Lineage: Bacteria; Pseudomonadati; Planctomycetota. The record is from RNAcentral.